RNAcentral lists this ribosomal RNA (441 nucleotides) under uncultured bacterium. RNAcentral's name for it is "partial 16S ribosomal RNA". It matches the Rfam family "Bacterial small subunit ribosomal RNA", at positions 338 to 795 of the family's 1533-position model. The record is from RNAcentral.
CCUACGGGAGGCAGCAGUGGGGAAUAUUGCACAAUGGGGGAAACCCUGAUGCAGCGACGCCGCGUGAGUGAAGAAGUAUUUCGGUAUGUAAAGCUCUAUCAGCAGGGAAGAAGAAAGACGGUACCUGACUAAGCAGCCCCGGCUAACUACGUGCCAGCAGCCGCGGUACUACGUAGGGGGCAAGCGUUAUCCGGAUUUACUGGGUGUAAAGGGAGCGUAGACGGCUGUGCAAGUCUGAAGUGAAAGCCCAGGGCUCAACCCUGGGACUGCUUUGGAAACUGUUGAGCUAGAGUGCUGGAGAGGUAAGUGGAAUUCCUAGUGUAGCGGUGAAAUGCGUAGAUAUUAGGAGGAACACCAGUGGCGAAGGCGGCUUACUGGACAGUAACUGACGUUGAGGCUCGAAAGCGUGGGGAGCAAACAGGAUUAGAUACCCGAGUAGUC